CGCAAGUGCGAAGAAGCAAGGUAAAAGCAGAACACGCCAACAAGCAACGUCCACGGCACCGAUUAUCGCCUCUUCUUUCUUCCCAUUAUCAGUACGGCAGCGCCGUGGUCCUGCCCCCACCGCCGCCCCUUUUACCGUAGUGCCUUUUAGUAGCAGUAGCACUAGAGUCGGGCCUGCUUGCCCGAAUCCGCUUUCCGAGACCGCUAAUCGUUGUCUCGGUGUGCGCGCGGGCGUUAGCAGCCCACCCCCGUAGCAAUCCAAGGAGGUAGGGAAGGGCAUCUCGACGCCGACUGAGAGACUCACCAAGUGAGACAUAGGGAUCACGAAAGAAUAGAAAAACACCCACCAUCGGCGUCUGCGGAGCCUGAACGUUUCCCUUUGACCCCGCGAAACGACAGGACGCUGCUGCGCGGUCUGAGAAGGGCUGAGGCAGGGGAGGCCACGGGGAGUACGAGAGCCCGCUACGAUUCACAACUGCUGAGGAGCGUGUUGCCCAUACAUACACACACACACACACACAGACUCACCCUCUUUUCACAUCUUCCCGCCACCCUCUCCCCAUCUCAGCUGCUGCUGCUGCUGCUCAUUUCUGUUGCUUUCUUGAUUUCCUUUCCCGAUGAAGCGUUUUGCGCAUGCGGCGCUCGGCCGCCUGCUGCUCGCAUCGGCCGCGCUUACCUCGUCCUCGCUGUCCACGCCGUCUCUGUGGACCGCGUGUCGCUCCUUCAAGUCGGAUGGGACGCCGUACAACUCGGAGAUGACGGACAUCGCACACGGUAGCAGGUACAACCGCGACGCAGCGGCCAGCACGGCUGCCGAGCAAGUUGCGGCGGGUCAGUACGCUGAAAACAAGCCGCGCGCCAUCAUGUUUGUCAACAAGCGCCCGGUUGAGAUCAUUCCGCAGGAGGAGAACGUGCUAGAGGUUCUGGAGCGGGAGGGCAUCACCGUACCAAAGUUCUGCUACCACCCCAUCCUCUCCGUAGCCGGAAACUGCCGUAUGUGCAUGGUGCAGGUGGAUGGCACUCAGAACAUCGUCGUCGCCUGCUCCACUGUGGCGUUACCUGGCAUGUCCAUCAUCACCGACAGCCGCCUCGUGCGCGACGCCCGCGAGGGCAACGUGGAGCUUAUCCUGAUCAACCACCCGAAUGACUGCCCGAUUUGCGAGCAGGCCACCAACUGCGAUCUGCAGAACGUGAGCAUGAACUACGGUACCGAUAUCCCGCGCUACCGCGAGGACAAGAAAGCCGUCGAGGACUUCUACUUUGACCCCCAGACACGCGUCGUGCUCAACCGCUGCAUCCACUGCACCCGCUGCAUCCGCUUCCUGAACGAGCACGCGCAGGACUUCAACCUCGGCCAGAUUGGCCGCGGCGGGCUGAGCGAAAUUUCCACCUUUCUAGAUGAACUGGAGGUGAAGACGGACAACAAUAUGCCCGUGUCUCAGCUAUGUCCCGUCGGGAAGCUGUACAUGGGCGAUGCAGACGAGAACAACGACAUAGUGCGCACGCUCGAGGCUGCGGGGGCAACGGCGUGAAAGGGCUGCCCUGUUGCCUGCCGCCUGAUCAGUGCUCGUGCGCGUCUGCCCCUCUCUCUGUGUGCAGGUGCCGCGGCCUCUUGUUUUCGCGCCACUUCUGCACCUUGUCUCUUGAUAUGGCGUGCUAGCGCCAGUGGACGCGCCCGGCAUGCGCACACAGGCACUUACCCUGAAGAGCACAAUUGCUCAGCUACGCAGUGGAUGAGGUGGCCAUAGCGAGAGAAAAACGGCGGCAGCGUCACGGAGAGCACUGCCUUUCGCUGCUUCACGAGCCCCCUUUCUUGUGCUGGCAGCAAUGAAGGAAAGCCGAGCAGCUGUGAGCUGAAAGAGACCAAGGGCACUCAUGUAUCAUCUUCUUUCCGUUCUUUUUUCUUGGCGUGCAGCAACCCCCCUGACCCCUCCCCCAUCGCGUCCCACCACGAGACCCACCACCGUGCCUUUCAGGCCGUUCACGAUUGGUGUGCUCCAGGUGGUGCUCCAUGAAGUCGACUACGGCCCCGCCCCGAGCCUCGACGAGGUUCGCUGUGAGAGCGUCAAGGCUGUACCGACGCACGGAAAGAGGGGCGCCGCUGGAUAUUUGCAACCAGAGCGUCGCCACCGGCCGCGUCGCUUCUACAUGGAAAGGAUAGGCUCACCGUGCCCCCUUCCCCUCGCCUGCAGCCGCACGUGCCCGAUGGUGUGGCCCCGUGCCCUACUGUCUCUGUGACACUGACCCGUGAUCUGCGCAACCCACAUGAGCAACGUACCUCGCGACGACUGCGCGACCAUCUGGGACACAAACUCCAGCCACGGCAGCCUGACUGCCGUCCCCACCGCUCCACUGCAGACCGCGCGGGCUUGCUCUCCCGCACGGCGGCCCAGCACCAGCCAGGUGCCGCUAUAGGGGCGGCGUCUGUGGGCUCGACGCUCACGCCUUCGGCUCGGUAGGCCACGGCGCUGAAGAAGUGCGGCGUAGACCCGCGCCAUGCUGUGGGAUGCCGCGGCUUUAAGAGGCUGAGGGGGAAAAAGCAUGGCAUGCAUGCCGAGUGCGGGGCCUGGGAGGGCCCUGACCUGCGGGUGGCCGACUUUCUCCCUGGUCUCAUCCGGCAUGCACCUGCACCACUGUCUCUGCCCUCGAUGAGGACACUGAAGGCGGCCCCGCUUUGGGUCAAGGCAUGCGGUCUAGCCGAGUGUGUCUAGCGCCGGCCGCGCGGCACGUAACCGCAGAAGGGACGAUGAAGGACGAGACGAGCCCGCUAGACGCAUGACCUCAUUCGGUGUCAGGACGGCUCCAUCUGGUCGACCAGGGUUUAGCCGCAGUGUGACAGCGGCAAGUGAGGUGUGGUUGUGCAUGCUUGUCUAUGCGUUGGCUUGUACGUGGGUAUAGUGCGAAGACGCCGAUGGGAAAGAGAGCUUAAAUGCGAGGGGCGAUUGGGGUGACUAGCGAAUAGCGGGAGGAGGGGACGUGUGCGUCGAACUCACUUCCUUCCUUCUGCACGGGCUUAUUUGACCCUUCUGCCUUGACCGUCCGCACCAGCUCCCCGCUUCUUCGGGGGUGAGGGAGUGGUAGCUUCCGCCGUUCGUUGCUCUUGCGUUGCCCUGCUUUUUCUGGGCGUGGGCUCGUUUGGUUCUCGUGUUGGCUUCGCUCUGUUCUCCUUGACGAGGAAGGCGGGGACGGGUUUGAUCGGCUCUCCGCAGAAUCGGUGCAGCGUGUCGGCAGACGAAGAAGAAAGCGGCGAAGGGCACCGCGAAAGGGCAAUGUAGGCGUCGUGUUUGUGGUGCAGAAGCGAGGACCCGGUUCAACCGGGCACGCUCGCGGCUGCCUACCUGGAGAGGUGACGUUGCGUAUCGUGCAUCCUCGGAUGGCUUGAUGGAGCGCG
This 3390-nucleotide unclassified non-coding RNA is filed under the name Leishmania donovani. RNAcentral describes it as "gene:LdHU3.18.1860(CDS-product:NADH-ubiquinone_ox idoreductase_complex_I_subunit_putative)". Lineage: Eukaryota; Euglenozoa; Kinetoplastea; Trypanosomatida; Trypanosomatidae. The record is from RNAcentral.